GUGUGCGUAAUUUAAAAAAAAUAUCAAGUCGUGACCUUGAAAAUAGAU
RNAcentral lists this transfer RNA (48 nucleotides) under Crotalus exiguus. RNAcentral describes it as "partial tRNA-His". Lineage: Eukaryota; Metazoa; Chordata; Lepidosauria; Squamata; Viperidae. The record is from RNAcentral.